RNAcentral lists this ribosomal RNA (251 nucleotides) under uncultured prokaryote. RNAcentral describes it as "partial 16S ribosomal RNA". It matches the Rfam family "Bacterial small subunit ribosomal RNA", at positions 525 to 775 of the family's 1533-position model. The record is from RNAcentral.
ACGAAGGGGGCUAGCGUUGCUCGGAAUCACUGGGCGUAAAGGGCGCGUAGGCGGCGUUUUAAGUCGGGGGUGAAAGCCUGUGGCUCAACCACAGAAUGGCCUUCGAUACUGGGACGCUUGAGUAUGGUAGAGGUUGGUGGAACUGCGAGUGUAGAGGUGAAAUUCGUAGAUAUUCGCAAGAACACCGGUGGCGAAGGCGGCCAACUGGACCAUUACUGACGCUGAGGCGCGAAAGCGUGGGGAGCAAACAG